UUUGAAUUAUUAUUAUCAAUAUUAUUAUUAAUAUUAUUACUAAUAUUAUUAUUAUUACUAUUAUUAUUAUUAUUAUUAUUAUUAUUAUUAUUAUUAUUAUUAUUAUUAUUAUUAUCAUUAUAAUUAUUACCGUAAUGUAAUACAAUUGUUAAGAAGGAUCGAUUGUUGUUCAGUGUUCGCGUCAUACGAUCGGUCGUCUUCCACACGGUCGUUCGUAAAUUCAACUUCCGAGCAAUGCAAAUAUUAUACAGAAAGAUAAACAAAUAUAUGUGUGUAUAGAAAUGCAUACAUACAUAUACAUACAUAUAAAUACAUACGUACAUACAUAUUAAGAUGGUGACUUUGCCUCGACAAAUCAAGAUCGACGAUCACAACGACACGAUAAAAAAUAUUCGUUAAAUCACUUAUUGUUAGAUCAUUUUAGCAGUUACUUUUUCUCUCUCUCUCUCUCUCUCUCCCUUUCUCUCUCUCUCUCCCACUCUCUCUCUCUCUCUCUCUCUCUCUCUCUGUCUCUUUAUGAUUAUAUCGACAUACAUAUUCAUAGAUACAUAUAUACAUACGUAGCAAUAUUUCGAAUUUUAUCUGCUUUCUCCAUUCCACGAAUUUUAAGCGCAAUUACAUAUGUAAUCGCAAACAAUAUAAUAAUCGUCUUAUAAUGAGAUUUUCAUCGUACGUGCCAGAAUGUCUUUCUUUCCCUCGCGUAGAACGAUCGUGUAUAUGUAAUUUUUAUCGACUUUACUAGAACUUUAUCGAGAGUAUUACAAAGAGAUAUAGCGAAAAAAGAAAGGGAAAGAAAAAGAGAAAGAGAGAGAGAAAGAGAAAGAGAGAGAGAGAGAAAAUUCUCGCCUCCCCCUAUCGAAUGUUGUAAAUGUUUCUCAUCUCAAAUCGAAUUUUAUUAUUAUUAUUAUUAAUUAAUUAAUUAAAUAAUAUAAAUGUGAAAGAGGAAAGCCACGAUAUUGCUUUCCCACGAACGACCUCGAUGGAAAAUGCCGUUUAAUAAAUAUGUUAGACGAAAGGGAAAUGAUAGGUGUGAUUGAAAGUGAAAAGUAUCUAUACGAAAGUAAGAGAAAGAAGAGAGAAAGAGAGAGAAAGAGAAAGAGAGAGAAAGAGAGAGAGAGAAAGAGAGAGAAAAUCUCGUCGUACAUAAGUACUUACUUGCAUAAAAUUUAUCGUUAUUAUUAAUGAAGAUAAAAAAAGCAAAAAAAAAAGAAUAACGCAAUAUAACUUUCAAUCGCGUGUAUAUACCUAACUGAAAUAAUAAUAAUGUGACCUUCGUGUGUGAAUAAUAAUAAUAAAAGAAUGCUAUAAAUGGUGUGCCUGGGACUGUGCAUAUGAGAAAGAAAGAGAGAGAGAGAGAAACAGAUCGAUUGUGCGAUAAUGGAAGAAAGAUAGAGAUAGAAAGAAGGAAAGAAUCAUUGAAAGGAUAAAUAAAAAAGAGCAAAAAAUUUAAGUAUUACGUACAUAUGUCGUGUUUUGCCUAGUUCUUUGCGACGCUUAAAUUAAGCUCGUCUACGCAGUGAAAGGCGCGAAAGAGAAAAGAAAAAUGGGAGGGAAAAAAAAAGAGAAAAGAAAAACAUAAAAAAAGAAAAGUCACGACGGAAGUGUCAGUCGAAUCGUCGAGAUUUUCACAUGGAAAAACAAUUAAAAGAAAAAAUGGAACAAAAAUUCAAUCGUUUCGAAACAGAAAUUCUCGGAGUACGACAAUUGCGUUGUUUGAAGGACGUUUGGAGAAAUAAAGAACAGUAAAAAAAAAGGAAAUAAGAAAAGAAAAUAUGACGAAAAGCAAAAAGGAUGGAUAAUGACGGGGCUAGAGAAUAAGUUUAUCGAGUUUAGACUUAAAAAGGAUAAGCUAUUAAAAAGGGAAAAAGAUAUUAAAAAAAAAAAAAAUAAAAUAAAAUAAAAUAAAACGAAAAAAGAGUUUAUUGAAGUAAGUACAUUGUUGCAACUGCCAUGCUGUGUGCCAUUAUAUAACGAGUCACGUUUGUCGUAAAGUAAAAAAUUAUAGAAAAAAUAAAAAAAAAAAGAAAAAAGAAAAAAAAAAGAACUAUACGGAAAGAUUGUCGAAAAUGAUGAUGGUCAUGAUGAAAUAAUAUUUGUGCGCGUUCUCGUCUGUCAGAUUAAGGAAGAAGAAAAAAAGAAAAAACACAAAAAAAGAAAAAACGAACAAAAAAAAUAAAAAAAAUAUCGUUCUUUCCAAAAAUUUACAUCUCGCUUUAAAGUCGGAUAAAUAUUCUCAAAAGAAAAAAGAAAAAAGCAAAAGAAUUAAAUAAAUAAAUAAAUAAAUAAAAAACUAAAAUAAAAUAAAAAAGACAAACAUACAUAAAUAUAUAUACACAUUCACAAACACACAUAUACACACACAUAUUCACACGCACACACAUAUCCUGUUAUCUUCGUUCGAAGAGAAAACAAGCGAGAGAAUGGAUACAAUCGGUUUUUAUAUUAUAAUGAUUUUUUGUUGACAAAAUUUUUAAUUUUCAACUUUUUCUAAUGAAAUAAUUUCUUCCGUGAAUUUCUUCCUCUAUAUUUCUUUCAACUAUAAUUGAUUUCGAAAUAAAGAUAUAAAUUUGCAAAUUGAAAUGGAAAUAGUGGAACGAAAGCAAAAAAGAGAGAGAGAGAGAGAGAUAGAGAGAAAGAGAAAAUAAAUAAAUAAAAAACUAAACACAUAUAAAUAAACAA
Molecule: long non-coding RNA, 2679 nt
Organism: Vespa mandarinia (Asian giant hornet)
Lineage: Eukaryota; Metazoa; Arthropoda; Insecta; Hymenoptera; Vespidae
Source: RefSeq, a predicted model, not a curated record